AUUGAACGCUGGCGGCAGGCCUAACACAUGCAAGUCGAGCGGUUGAAGGGAGCUUGCUCCUGGAUUCAGCGGCGGACGUGUGAGUAAUGCCUAGGAAUCUGCCUGGUAGUGGGGGAUAACGUCCGGUAACGGGCGCUAAUACCGCAUACGUCCUGAGGUAGAAAGUGGUGUAUCUUCGUACCUCACGCUAUCAGAUGAGCCUAGGUCGGAUUAGCUAGUUGGUGGGGUAAAGGCCUACCAAGGCGACGAUCCGUAACUGGUCUGAGAGGAUGAUCAGUCAAAUUGGAACUGAGACAAGGGCCAGAAUCAUAAGGGAGGCAGCAGUGGGGAAUAUUGGACAAUGGGCGAAAGACUGAUCCAGCAAUGCCGCGUGUGUGAAGAAGGUCUUCGGAUUGAAAAGCACUUUAAGUAGGGAGGAAGGGCAGUAAGUUAAUACCUUGCUGUUUUGACGUAACCAACAGAAUAAGCACCGGCUAACGUAGUG
RNAcentral lists this ribosomal RNA (484 nucleotides) under uncultured bacterium. Its description in RNAcentral is "partial 16S ribosomal RNA". It matches the Rfam family "Bacterial small subunit ribosomal RNA", at positions 30 to 507 of the family's 1533-position model. The record is from RNAcentral.